RNAcentral lists this ribosomal RNA (301 nucleotides) under uncultured bacterium. RNAcentral's name for it is "partial 16S ribosomal RNA". It matches the Rfam family "Bacterial small subunit ribosomal RNA", at positions 509 to 807 of the family's 1533-position model. The record is from RNAcentral.
CAGUCGCCACGGUAAAACGAAGGGUGCAAGCGUUAAUCGGAAUUACUGGGCGUAAAGCGUGCGUAGGCGGUGAGUUAAGUCUGCUGUGAAAUCCCCGGGCUCAACCUGGGAAUGGCAGUGGAUACUGGCUCGCUAGAGUGUGUCAGAGGAUGGUGGAAUUCCCGGUGUAGCGGUGAAAUGCGUAGAGAUCGGGAGGAACAACAGUGGCGAAGGCGGCCAUCUGGGACAACACUGACGCUGAGGCACGAAAGCGUGGGGAGCAAACAGGAUUAGAUACCCCUGUAGUCCCUGUCUCUUAUAC